RNAcentral lists this transfer RNA (74 nucleotides) under Thermoplasmata archaeon M11B2D. Its description in RNAcentral is "tRNA-Met". It matches the Rfam family "tRNA". Rfam says of the family: Transfer RNA (tRNA) molecules are approximately 80 nucleotides in length. Their secondary structure includes four short double-helical elements and three loops (D, anti-codon, and T loops). Further hydrogen bonds mediate the characteristic L-shaped molecular structure. tRNAs have two regions of fundamental functional importance: the anti-codon, which is responsible for specific mRNA codon recognition, and the 3' end, to which the tRNAs corresponding amino acid is attached (by aminoacyl-tRNA synthetases). tRNAs cope with the degeneracy of the genetic code in two manners: having more than one tRNA (with a specific anti-codon) for a particular amino acid; and 'wobble' base-pairing, i.e. permitting non-standard base-pairing at the 3rd anti-codon position. The record is from RNAcentral. Lineage: Archaea; Methanobacteriati; Thermoplasmatota; Thermoplasmata.
GUCGGGGUGGCUCAGCCUGGUCAGAGCGCCUGACUCAUAAUCAGGAGGCCGCGGGUUCAACUCCCGCCCCCGAC